Molecule: ribosomal RNA, 400 nt
Filed under: phytoplankton environmental sample
Lineage: Eukaryota
Description: partial small subunit ribosomal RNA
Rfam family: Eukaryotic small subunit ribosomal RNA
Source: RNAcentral
AGCUCCAAUAGCGUAUAUUAAAGUUGUUGCAGUUAAAAAGCUCGUAGUUGGAUUUGUGGCAUACUAUGGACACCCUUCACUUGUUGUUGGAGUUGUGCUUGGUUGCCAUCCUUGGGUGGAAUCUGUGUGGCAUUAGGUUGUCGUGCAGUGGAUGCCCAUCUUUUACUGUGAAAAAAUUAGAGUGUUCAAAGCAGGCUUAUGCCGUUGAAUAGAUUAGCAUGGAAUAAUGAGAUAGGACCUUGGUACUAUUUUGUUGGUUUGCGCACCGAGGUAAUGAUUAAUAGGGACGGUUGGGGGUAUUCAUAUUCCAUUGUCAGAGGUGAAAUUCUUGGAUUUUUGGAAGAUGAACUACUGCGAAAGCAUUUACCAAGGAUGUUUUCAUUAAUCAAGAACGAAAGUA